CCUACGGGCGGCAGCAGUGAGGAAUAUUGGUCAAUGGACGAGAGUCUGAACCAGCCAAGUAGCGUGAAGGAUGUCUGCCCUAUGGGUUGUAAACUUCUUUUAUAUGGGAAUAAAAUGUUCCACGUGUGGGAUUUUGUAUGUACCCUAUGAAUAAGGAUCGGCUAACUCCGUGCCAGCAGCCGCGGUAAUACGGAGGAUCCGAGCGUUAUCCGGAUUUAUUGGGUUUAAAGGGAGCGUAGGUGGGUUGUUAAGUCAGUUGUGAAAGUUUGCGGCUCAACCGUAGAAUUGCAGUUGAAACUGGCAGUCUUGAGUACAGUAGAGGUGGGCGGAAUUCGUGGUGUAGCGGUGAAAUGCUUAGAUAUCACGAAGAACUCCGAUUGCGAAGGCAGUUCACUGGACUGCAACUGACACUGAGGCUCGAAAGUGUGGGUAUCAAACAGGAUUAGAUACCCCUGUAGUC
This 460-nucleotide ribosomal RNA is filed under the name uncultured bacterium. Its description in RNAcentral is "partial 16S ribosomal RNA". It matches the Rfam family "Bacterial small subunit ribosomal RNA", at positions 338 to 795 of the family's 1533-position model. The record is from RNAcentral.